AAGAAUUAAAUGGAUGAAAUAUGAAGUUUUAUUAAAAGAAAAAGGGGUGAAAAGAACAAAGUUUUGUCCAUCUUUGUUCAUCAUAGCUGAAAGUUAGAGAAGAGAAAUGAGAGGAGAAAGCUCUUGAGUAUUCGGUCAUUAGGAGGAGGAAAAUUGAAGGAAAUCCCCAACCAUAGUGGGCUUGGAGCUGUGAGGGAAUUCGGAGUGACCACCCGUUCUGAAAGUUUGAUUUUCUUCUCGUGAACUGGACAUCCUUUUAUUUACGAUUGAAGUUUUGGGUUUUUAAAUGUAAUAAGGCCACUUAACUAUUUUUUAUGGUUUUAAUAUGUAUUACUAAGAUAGGUAAUACUUAUUUUAACUGUUGAAAUUGGAUAGCUUUAGGGCGCAUUUUCAAAAACAACAGUUGAUUUCAAAAUAACACGACAACAAGCAAAGCUUCCGCAAUGAAAGUAUUUUCCAAAA
Long non-coding RNA from Gossypium arboreum, 462 nucleotides. RefSeq lists it as uncharacterized. NCBI's taxonomy places the organism in Eukaryota, Viridiplantae, Streptophyta, Magnoliopsida, Malvales, Malvaceae. The record is from RefSeq and is a predicted model, not a curated record. The transcript is spliced from 2 exons.